Molecule: ribosomal RNA, 440 nt
Filed under: Klebsiella pneumoniae
Lineage: Bacteria; Pseudomonadati; Pseudomonadota; Gammaproteobacteria; Enterobacterales; Enterobacteriaceae
Description: partial 23S ribosomal RNA
Rfam family: Bacterial large subunit ribosomal RNA
Source: RNAcentral
GGGACACGUGGUAUCCUGUCUGAAUAUGGGGGGACCAUCCUCCAAGGCUAAAUACUCCUGACUGACCGAUAGUGAACCAGUACCGUGAGGGAAAGGCGAAAAGAACCCCGGCGAGGGGAGUGAAAAAGAACCUGAAACCGUGUACGUACAAGCAGUGGGAGCACCUUCGGGUGUGACUGCGUACCUUUUGUAUAAUGGGUCAGCGACUUAUAUUCUGUAGCAAGGUUAACCGUAUAGGGGAGCCGCAGGGAAACCGAGUCUUAACUGGGCGUUAAGUUGCAGGGUAUAGACCCGAAACCCGGUGAUCUAGCCAUGGGCAGGUUGAAGGUUGGGUAACACUAACUGGAGGACCGAACCGACUAAUGUUGAAAAAUUAGCGGAUGACUUGUGGCUGGGGGUGAAAGGCCAAUCAAACCGGGAGAUAGCUGGUUCUCCCCGAA